GGCCCUAUCGUCUAGUAGUUAGGACAUUACCCUCUCACGGUAGAAACCGGGGUGCGAAUCCCCGUAGGGUCACAA
This 75-nucleotide transfer RNA is filed under the name Parcubacteria group bacterium RIFOXYD2_FULL_52_8. RNAcentral describes it as "tRNA-Glu". It matches the Rfam family "tRNA". Rfam says of the family: Transfer RNA (tRNA) molecules are approximately 80 nucleotides in length. Their secondary structure includes four short double-helical elements and three loops (D, anti-codon, and T loops). The record is from RNAcentral.